Long non-coding RNA from Hylaeus anthracinus, 538 nucleotides. RefSeq lists it as uncharacterized. Lineage: Eukaryota; Metazoa; Arthropoda; Insecta; Hymenoptera; Colletidae. The record is from RefSeq and is a predicted model, not a curated record. The transcript has 3 exons.
CUCGAAUGGCGGGAACCAACAUCACUGCCCGAAACCGAUUUUCUGGAUUCUGGAGUAGCAGAUCUGGAAGAAACAAAUUACGAUUCUAACGAUCCGAGAGAUAAACGAAAUCGUCGAGAAUACUGCAAUCAGCACAUUUUAACGUCGUUCUGCGGCAAGCAAGCAGUAAAUGAGCGCAUGGCAAUUUUACAGAAAGUUGGGGUCACCAUUGUAUGUAAUUAGUGGUACGAUCGUCAACCUCUCUUGCCAACCCAGGAUUUCCCUUGAUUAAUGGUGAGUCACAUCCUCGAUCAAUUUUUAAAUAUAAUUUCGUAGCGUUGCAUUAACAAUAUACUUUAGACUAUACAUAUACUUGAAGAGAUUUUACUUCAAUAUUUUCAGAAUGUCUUUUAUAUCACGUCGCUUCUUAAUACUUUUUAGUACUCCAACACACGGUGAUUUGGAUCUUUGGUACACUGUUUAAAAUACUAGACCCCCACGUAGUUCUUCCUAGAAAGUUUCCUUUUCCCUCGCGAGUAAACAAGCAGAUAGUGGAGCU